Callorhinchus milii (elephant shark) is the source of this 117-nucleotide ribosomal RNA. Lineage: Eukaryota; Metazoa; Chordata; Chondrichthyes; Chimaeriformes; Callorhinchidae. The record is from Ensembl.
GCCUACGGCCAUACUAUGAACACGCCCGAUCUCGUCUGAUCCCAGAAGCUUAAGUGGAGUCAGGCCUGGUUAGUACUUGGGUGGGAGACCACCUGGUAAUACCAGGACCCGUAGGCU